Molecule: ribosomal RNA, 36 nt
Filed under: Pelobates cultripes (western spadefoot toad)
Lineage: Eukaryota; Metazoa; Chordata; Amphibia; Anura; Pelobatidae
Description: SSU_rRNA_eukarya
Source: RNAcentral
AGGGAGCCUGAGAAACGGCUACCACAUCCAAUGAAG